This 1509-nucleotide ribosomal RNA is filed under the name metagenome. RNAcentral describes it as "bacterial SSU rRNA". It matches the Rfam family "Bacterial small subunit ribosomal RNA". The record is from RNAcentral.
AGAGUUUGACCCUGGCUCAGAACGAACGCUGGCGGCGUGGCUAAGACAUGCAAGUCGAACGGACUGGUCGAUUGGGUAACUGAGAGACCAGUUAGUGGCGAAAGGGUGAGGAAUAGACAGGUAACGUACCUUGAUCUUUGGGAUAAUGUCGUGUUCGCAAGGACACUACCGAAAGGGGCACUAAUACUGAAUAAUGUGGUUCGCUUAAUGCGGAUUACCAAAGAUUUAUCGGGUCAAGAGCGGCCUAUCUCCUAUCAGCUAGUUGGUGAGGUAAUGGCUCACCAAGGCAAUGACGAGUAGCGGGACUGAGAGGUUGGCCCGCCACAUCGGGACUGAGACACUGCCCGGACCUCCACGGAGGGCUGCAGUAACGAAUAUUGGGCAAUGGGCGAAAGCCUGACCCAGCGACGCCGCGUGCGGGAGGAAGUUCCUCGGAAUGUAAACCGCUGUCAGGGUGAAGAAAGACCGCAGGUUUGAUCUAACCCAGAGGAAGCAACGGCUAACUUCGUGCCAGCAGCCGCGGUAAUACGAAGGUUGCAAGCGUUGUUCGGAAUCACUGGGCUUAAAGCGUAUGUAGGCGGAUGAGUAAGCGUUUUGUGAAAUCCCUCGGCUUAACCGGGGAAUUGCUUGGCGAACUGCUCAUCUUGAGGCAAAUAGGGGUGCAUGGAACUCUUGGUGGAGCGGUGGAAUGCGUAGAUAUCAAGAGGAACGCCAGCGGCGAAAGCGGUGCACUGGAUUUGUCCUGACGCUCAGAUACGAAAGCGUGGGGAGCAAACGGGAUUAGAUACCCCGGUAGUCCACGCCCUAAACGAUGCCUACUAGGUUGUAGAACCUCUGACGGUUUUACGGCCGAAGCAAAAGUGUUAAGUAGGCCGCCUGGGAAGUACGGUCGCAAGGCUAAAACUCAAAGGAAUUGACGGGGGCUCACACAAGCGGUGGAGUAUGUGGAUUAAUUCGAAACAACGCGCAGAACCUUACCUGGGUUUGACAUGGUUGGAUGGCUUACUGGAAACAGUGUAGUCUGCCCGCAAGGGUGAAACUUCCACAGGUGCUGCAUGGCUGUCGUCAGCUCGUGUCGUGAGAUGUCGGGUUAAGUCCCUUAACGAGCGAAACCCUUGUCAUUAGUUACCAUCAGUUCAGCUGGGGACUCUAAUGAGACUGCCGGUGUUAAACCGGAGGAAGGUGGGGAUGACGUCAAGUCCUCAUGGCCUUUAUGCCCAGGGCCUCACACGUACUACAAUGGCGGCUACAAAGCGACGCAAGACCGCAAGGUGGAGCAAAUCGCAGAAAGGUCGCCUCAGUUCAGAUUGCAGGCUGCAAUUCGCCUGCAUAAAGUUGGAAUCGCUAGUAAUCGCGGAUCAGCUACGCCGCGGUGAAUGUGUUCCUGAGCCUUGUACACACCGCCCGUCAAGUCAUGGGAGCCGGAAGUACCCGAAGUCGGGUUGUCAACCGCAAGGAGACGCCUGCCGACGGUAAGUUCGGUGACUGGGACUAAGUCGGAACAAGGUA